UACGGGGGGGGCAAGCGUUGUUCGGAAUUACUGGGCGUAAAGGGCUCGUAGGCGGCCAACUAAGUCAGACGUGAAAUCCCUCGGCUUAACCUGGGAACUGCGUCUGAUACUGGAAGGCUUGAGGAUGGGAGAGGGAUGUAGAAUUCCAGGUGUAGCGGUGAAAUGCGUAGAUAUCUGGAGGAAUACCGGUGGCGAAGGCGGCAUCCUGGACCAUUACUGACGCUGAGGCGCGAAAGCUAGGGGAGCAAACGGG
RNAcentral lists this ribosomal RNA (253 nucleotides) under uncultured bacterium. RNAcentral describes it as "partial 16S ribosomal RNA". It matches the Rfam family "Bacterial small subunit ribosomal RNA", at positions 524 to 776 of the family's 1533-position model. The record is from RNAcentral.